This 301-nucleotide ribosomal RNA is filed under the name uncultured bacterium. RNAcentral's name for it is "partial 16S ribosomal RNA". It matches the Rfam family "Bacterial small subunit ribosomal RNA", at positions 509 to 807 of the family's 1533-position model. The record is from RNAcentral.
CAGCCGCCACGGUAAUACGGGGGGUGCAAGCGUUAAUCGGAAUUACUGGGCGUAAAGGGUGCGUAGGUGGUUGUGUUAGUUAUCUGUGAAAUCCCUGGGCUCAACCCGGGCAGGUCAGAUAAUACUGCAUAACUCGAGUAUGGGAGAGGGUAGUGGAAUUUCCGGUGUAGCGGUGAAAUGCGUAGAGAUCGGAAGGAACACCAGUGGCGAAGGCGGCUACCUGGCCUAAUACUGACACUGAGGCACGAAAGCGUGGGGAGCAAACAGGAUUAGAUACCCCUGUAGUCCCUGUCUCUUAUAC